RNAcentral lists this non-coding RNA (956 nucleotides) under Vaillantella maassi. RNAcentral describes it as "12S ribosomal RNA". It matches the Rfam family "Bacterial small subunit ribosomal RNA". The record is from RNAcentral. Lineage: Eukaryota; Metazoa; Chordata; Actinopteri; Cypriniformes; Vaillantellidae.
CAAAAGUUUAGUCCUGACUUUACUAUCAGCUUUAGCUAUAUUUAUACAUGUAAGUCUCCGCAGCCCUGUGAGAAUGCCCUCCAUCCCCCGCCCGGGGAUGAGGAGCAGGUAUCAGGCACAAACCAUUUAGCCCAAGACGCCUUGCCAUGCCACACCCCCAAGGGAAUUCAGCAGUAAUUAAUUUUAAGCCAUAAGCGAAAGCUUGACUCAGUUAAAGCUAAGAGGGCCGGUAAAACCCGUGCCAGCCACCGCGGUUAUACGAGAGGCCCAAGUUGAUAUGCGCGGCGUAAAGGGUGGUUUAGGGAAGACAACAAUAAAGCCGAAGGACCACUUGGCCGUCGUACGCUCCUGAGCAUCCGAAGCCCAAAUACGAAAGUAGCUUUAACAUCAGUCCACCUGAUCCCACGAAAACUGAGAAACAAACUGGGAUUAGAUACCCCACUAUGCUCAGUCGUAAACUUAGAUGUCAAACCACAAUAGACAUCCGCCAGGGUACUACGAGCACCAGCUUAAAACCCAAAGGACUUGGCGGUGCCUUAGACCCACCUAGAGGAGCCUGUUCUAGAACCGAUAACCCCCGUUAAACCUCACCACUUCUAGCCAUACCGCCUAUAUACCGCCGUCGUCAGCUUACCCCGUGAUGGCUUAGCAGUAAGCAAAAUGAAUAAAGUCCAGAACGUCAGGUCGAGGUGUAGUGUAUGAAGUGGGAAGAAAUUGGCUACAUUUUCUAAAAUAGAAUAUACGAAUAGCACUAAAUGAAAAACAUGCUCGAAGGAGGAUUUAGUAGUAAAAAGGAAGCAGAGAGUCCUUUUGAAUUUGGCUCUGAGACGCGUACAUACCGCCCGUCACCCUCCCCACCAAACAACAUUACAAGUAAUUUAACACUAAAACAAGUAGGACAGGAGAGGCAAGUCGUAACAUGGUAAGUGUACCGGAAGGUGCACUUGGAUAAAACC